This 223-nucleotide ribosomal RNA is filed under the name uncultured bacterium. RNAcentral's name for it is "partial 16S ribosomal RNA". It matches the Rfam family "Bacterial small subunit ribosomal RNA", at positions 28 to 228 of the family's 1533-position model. The record is from RNAcentral.
GAUGAACGCUGGCGGCGUGCUUAACACAUGCAAGUCGAGCGAAGCGCUUUGGUUAGAUUCUUCGGAUGAAGACCUUUGUGACUGAGCGGCGGACGGGUGAGUAACGCGUGGGUAACCUGGCCUCGAUACAGGGGAUAACCAGUUAGAAAUGACUGCUAAUAACCGGCAUAAGACCGACAGUACCGCAUGGUACAGGGGUAAAAACUCCGGUGGUAUGAGAUGG